This 427-nucleotide ribosomal RNA is filed under the name uncultured bacterium. Its description in RNAcentral is "bacterial SSU rRNA". It matches the Rfam family "Bacterial small subunit ribosomal RNA", at positions 355 to 774 of the family's 1533-position model. The record is from RNAcentral.
UAGGGAAUAUUGGACAAUGGGGGCAACCCUGAUCCAGCCAUGCCGCGUGAGUGAAGAAGGCCCUCGGGUUGUAAAGCUCUUUUGUCCGGAAAGAAAAGCUUCGGGUUAAUACCCCGGGGUUCUGACGGUACCGGAAGAAUAAGCACCGGCUAACUUCGUGCCAGCAGCCGCGGUAAUACGAAGGGUGCAAGCGUUACUCGGAAUUACUGGGCGUAAAGCGUGCGUAGGUGGUUGUUUAAGUCUGAUGUGAAAGCCCUGGGCUCAACCUGGGAAGGGCAUUGGAAACUGGGCAGCUAGAGUGCGGUAGAGGGGAGUGGAAUUCCCGGUGUAGCAGUGAAAUGCGUAGAGAUCGGGAGGAACAUCUGUGGCGAAGGCGACUGCCUGGACCAGCACUGACACUGAGGCACGAAAGCGUGGGGAGCAAACA